RNAcentral lists this ribosomal RNA (253 nucleotides) under uncultured prokaryote. Its description in RNAcentral is "partial 16S ribosomal RNA". It matches the Rfam family "Bacterial small subunit ribosomal RNA", at positions 525 to 777 of the family's 1533-position model. The record is from RNAcentral.
ACGGGGGGGGCAAGCGUUGUUCGGAAUUACUGGGCGUAAAGGGUUCGCAGGUGGCCGACUAAGUCAGACGUGAAAUCCCUCAGCUCAACUGGGGAACUGCGUCUGAGACUGGCCGGCUUGAGUGCAGGAGAGGAACGCGGAAUUCCAGGUGUAGCGGUGAAAUGCGUAGAUAUCUGGAGGAACACCGGUGGCGAAGGCGGCGUUCUGGACUGUAACUGACACUGAGAGACGAAAGCCAGGGGAGCAAACGGGA